UACGUAGGGGGCGAGCGUUGUCCGGAAUUACUGGGCGUAAAGGGUGCGUAGGUGGCAAUUUAAGUUGGAUGUGAAAUCCCCGGGCUUAACCUGGGUGGUGCAUUCAAAACUGGAUAGCUAGAGUGCAGGAGAGGGAAGCGGAAUUCCUAGUGUAGCGGUGAAAUGCGUAGAUAUUAGGAGGAACACCAGUGGCGAAGGCGGCUUUCUGGACUGUAACUGACACUGAGGCACGAAAGCGUGGGGAG
Molecule: ribosomal RNA, 245 nt
Filed under: uncultured Clostridiaceae bacterium
Lineage: Bacteria; Bacillati; Bacillota; Clostridia; Eubacteriales; Clostridiaceae
Description: partial 16S ribosomal RNA
Rfam family: Bacterial small subunit ribosomal RNA
Source: RNAcentral